GGAAUCUACCUAGUAGUACGGAAUAAUUGUUGGAAACGGCAACUAAUACCGUAUACGCCCUAAGGGGGAAAGAUUUAUUGCUAUUAGAUGAGCCUAUAUUAGAUUAGUUAGUUGGUAAGGUAAUGGCUUACCAAGGCAAUGAUCUAUAGCUGAUCUGAGAGGAUGAUCAGCCACACUGGAACUGAGAUACGGUCCAGACUCCUACGGGAGGCAGCAGUGGGGAAUAUUGGACAAUGGGCGAAAGCCUGAUCCAGCCAUACCGCAUGAGUGAAGAAGGCCUUUGGGUUGUAAAGCUCUUUCGGUGAGGAAGAUAGUGACGGUACUCACAGAAGAAGUCCUGGCUAACUCCGUGCCAGCAGCCGCGGUAAUACGGAGAGGGCUAGCGUUAUUCGGAAUUAUUGGGCGUAAAGAGCGCGUAGGCUGGUUAGUAAGUUAAAAGUGAAAUCCCAAAGCUCAACUUUGGAAUUGCUUUUAAAACUGCUAACCUAGAGAUUGAAAGAGGAUAGAGGAAUUCCUAGUGUAGAGGUGAAAUUCGUAAAUAUUAGGAGGAACACCAGUGGCGAAGGCGUCUAUCUGGUUCAAAUCUGACGCUGAGGCGCGAAGGCGUGGGGAGCAAACAGGAUUAGAUACCCUGGUAGUCCACGCUGUAAACGAUGAAUGUUAAAUAUGGGAAGUUUACUUUCUGUAUUACAGCUAACGCGUUAAACAUUCCGCCUGGGGACUACGGUCGCAAGAUUAAAACUCAAAGGAAUUGACGGGGACCCGCACAAGCGGUGGAGCAUGUGGUUUAAUUCGAUGCAACGCGA
Molecule: ribosomal RNA, 806 nt
Filed under: Wolbachia endosymbiont of Cimex lectularius
Lineage: Bacteria; Pseudomonadati; Pseudomonadota; Alphaproteobacteria; Rickettsiales; Anaplasmataceae
Description: bacterial SSU rRNA
Rfam family: Bacterial small subunit ribosomal RNA
Source: RNAcentral